AGCAGCACCAAGUAUAAGCCCGCUCAGUAUGAGAAACUGCAAGCCAUUGUUGAUGCCAAACGUCGGGAGUCUAAUCUCAUUGGACAAAAGGUUCAAAGAAGCUUGCGUGCCGCCAAGGUAACCAAGGAGAAGUCGAUCUUACGGCAGCACAGGCAGGUGUGGAGCUCAGAGUGCCCCAGGCUGCGAAAGGCUGAGAAGAAGAUUGAGGAUGACAUCCAGGAAUUUUUGCAGCAAAUCAGACAGAGUGACAGAAGUGACACUGCCAUCAUCUCAAUUCAAGA
RNAcentral lists this long non-coding RNA (281 nucleotides) under Neogobius melanostomus (round goby). RNAcentral's name for it is "lncRNA (ENSNMLG00000026616.1)". The record is from RNAcentral. Lineage: Eukaryota; Metazoa; Chordata; Actinopteri; Gobiiformes; Gobiidae.